UGACAAACAACUCAACCCAAUCUGGCAAAACACUCUAAAGCAAUUGGGCGCGAUCUUCCCCUUCAACGUGGGAUCCAAUAUCUGUGCAAUGGUCCCAUUUUGGUGACAGUAUCUAACCCAAUUCCCAAGCGACUCUUCUCUCGGCUCCGCCGUGCGGAUCAGAGGAGGACGAGCGCACAGUACCUCAAACAACACUACUCCGAAAGAGUACACGUCAGACUUUUCCGUCAAAUGUUGUCGUUUAUAAUACUCUGGAUCUAUAUACCCAAAGCUACCCUUCACAGGGGUGGUGCAGACAUUGGACUUGGAAUCGCCCGUGGGCCCAAUUCUGGAAAGCCCAAAGUCCGAAACCUUGGCUACCCAUUCCUCAUCCAACAAGAUGUUCGUGGUUUUCACGUCGCUGUGGAUGAUCGUGUAUGUUUGGGCGCAGCAGUGAAGAUAAUGCAGCGCGUGCGCUGCGUCGAUACAAAUCUGCAAGCGCCGCUUCCAUGGCAACGGAGGCUUGUCGCUGUUGUAGAGAUGCUCGCGGAGGUUGCCUCGUGCCAUGAAAUUAUAGACCAGGAUCAUCUCCUUGUUGCUGUUGCAGUAACCGAUAAGUGGAACGAUAUUGCGAUGGCGGAGCUGCGAGAGCAUCUCGAUCUCGUUCAGAAACUCUUCACUGCCCUGCUUUGAACCCGGUUUGUGGCGCUUAAUAGCCACCUCGAUCUCGUUUGAACCGGGUUUGAAGAGCUUGAGAGUCACCGGGAUGAAAAUUCUGCGGAUGAAGCCCCUGUACACGUGGCCGAAUCCCCCGACGCCGACGACGGAAGCGUCGUCGAAGUUGUUGGUGGCGGCUUUGAUCUCUACGAGGGAGAAGCGCAGGCAGAUGAGCGUGUUCACUGGCAGUUCUUCUGCAUCGGUUGACUGCUGGUGUGCAUUGGUUGACAGCUUGUGUGCAUUGGUUGAGAACGAGCGUGGAUUGAACAUGGAUCUUGCCCACCUAAAGACGAAACCAACAGACGAGACCGAGACCAAGACGAAUACCAUCCCUGCUAUGCUAAUUUUGUGUUUAUUCCUUCUCUUUUCGACUGAUAAGACGUUCCUUCUCUUUCCGACUGCCAUGCCAUUCCUUCUCUCUUCGAAUGCUAUGCCGUUCUGCGCGUUUGGUCCGGCGAGGAUGUUGGAGUCGCUGAUUUUGAAGAUCUCGAGGCCAUUCAAGCACGGAUUGCUCGAAUUCAAAUAAGGGUGCAAUUGGAGCGAGAGAUUAACCUUUUCCUGAGUAUCAUUUUUGGGAAUCAAAACGACGAAGUUUCUCUGCACAGCGAGACCCUUAAGUUGGUUGCUCCAUCUCAAAACUUCAGCGUGAUCCUCAGCCAAGUCGCUCCCUAUGUAAACGCAGAACACCCUGUCACCGAUGUUAGUGAUGUUCUGAUCAAGUUCACAAAAAUGGAGCCUAACCAAGUAGUAGAAACCAGAGUCAACGGGGAAGUUCCAAGUCAACUUAGGAGAUCUCUUGGUGAUACGCUCUGUUCUGUACAGUACCUUGGGUGCCACCGAACCAUGGUGCAGGGUUAUGUUCAUCUCACCAUUAUUGUUAGGAUUUUUUUCUUUGAUUAAAUAAUGUUCGUCACCGGCGACCAGGUUUCUGAACAAACCGGUGUCCUUUGGCGGCGAAAUUCCUUGAACUCCAACUUUGACUCUAUACUGUGCGUGCAGAGCAGUGUCGGAUGUAACGCGGUACAAGGUGUGGGUUCCGACGAGCUUGAAGCCCGCAUGAUGUGGUGAAGUGUAAUAGAGAUCGGUUGGGAUAGAAAACACCUGGAUUCCGUUGAUGAGAGCGUGGGAGUUAGGUUGUGAGGGAGUGAAGCUGAGGUUGAGCGUCUCACCGUUGUCAACGUUGACCACGUAUUCUCUGAAGAUCGUUUCCGUGUCAUCCUCGUCGGUGCUGAAACCGUAGAAGAGGGUGAAAUGGUUGCAAUGAACGGUGAAGGAUGCUUGUGUAGAAGGAAAGGAAGGGUAAGAAGCGGGGUAGAAGAAGAGGCGAAGGAAAUAGGAACCUGGGGUUACGGGGAAGGAGUAAUUGAAUUGGGAACGAGAGAUGCGUGCUGUGGUGUAGGGUAGUUGAAGGGUGGAAUUAGAUUGUGGUGGUGUUGGGUUAGCGGAAACGGUGCUGUCUUGAUGAGACAAGAACAUCGAAGCUGUGUCCCCUGUCCAUGUUGUUUCACCGUCGUAGGAUGUUCCAGUGCUGCCGCAAUUGAUUGUGAAAUUGUUGACUGGAGUGUAGGCUUGGAGGUUCGUAAAGAGUGUAAAGAGGUGGAGGAGGAAGAGUUUUAAGGCGGUGAUACUGCUGAACCUCAUUAUGAACUAAUCUGAGAGACUGGGUGAAGUUGUACUAUGAACACUUAAUUUUCUCAUUCAGAACAAUCUUGUAGCAGUAGAAAAGAAGCAAUGAAGACACGAAGGUUCCUUGUUAACUAACCUGAAAGACUGGUGAAGUUGUCUUAUGAACACUUAAUUUUCUAAUUCACAAAAAGCUUGUAGUAGUUGCUAAGAAGCGAAGAAGACACGAAGAUUCCUUGCACUGCAAGUUUAAGUAUGAACAUCUAGUCUAAUCAUGCUCAUACAGUAACAUUUCAAUUUUUAUUAAAUAUCCAUCUAACACUAGUUGCUAUACAUUUUAUUUAUUUAUUUAAAGUGAAUCACCUACUAAAUUAAAAGUAUUCUUGAGUUUAUAGAUAUUGUGUGAUUUUUUUUACUUUAAAUAUAAAAUAAUUUAGGAUGAAUCAAUUAGUAAAGUAAGAAUAUUAUUAUUUUAUUAGAUAUAUUAAGCGUAUAAAGAAAUUGAAUGAUGUACAUGUAGCUUUUUUCUAAUCUAAUAUAGUGAAAAUUCUUUAGGGUACACAGAGAUAAACCCGUAAAUGUUCUAAUGUGUUUUCGUAUUUAGAAAUUUAUUAUUUAAACUAACAUUUAAGGUUUAGAGUUUAGGGGUGAAAAGUGUCAAUUUAUCUAUAUUUUUUAUUUUUAUUAUUAUUACAUAUGUAUUUAUAUUUGUUAUUAAAAAGUUUGCAUACUCAAAAUCCAACAUAAUAGAGAUAAUAAUGAAAAGGGUUAAUUUGAAUGGUUGAAAAAUUAUACAUUUAAAAUGAGAGAGGAGACAGAUAAUAAACCAUUAAAAAAAUGAACACAAAUAAAAAUGAGAGUUAUUAUGGCAUGCAAAUCAAUGCAAACUCUCCUUAUUUUGGGUAAGUAAUGUAAGCAACAACUUCACACUCAUUCUUUUUUUCUUUUUUUUUUUAUAGUGCACACUGCUCUUAGACGUGCGUCGAUUGUGACUACGUUGUUACUAUUGUAGAGAUCUAAGUCUUGAUAUUCUUCAAACUCAACAUUCACGAUCCCGUCGAAUCUUUCCACGAUAGUAUGAUAAUCUCUAUUUUAACUUGUUCGACCUUUUCUGAUAGAAGAAGGGAACUUGCGUUUGAGAGUAAACAUAAGAGUGGAGAGUUAAAAUAUUUUUGAAACAUAAAAUAAGAAAUUAAAAUGGGGCAAAAUUUAUGUACAACAAAAACGAUUUUUAAAAGAAAUCAUCUUUAUACAUAGUUAUAUAAAAGAUGAAGAUACGUCAAAAUAUAUACUUUUUAUCUACCUUUUUUUCUAUCUCUUAAUACCUUGGUUUGCACUUGUUGAUAAUAACUAGUCAACCUUUUUUUUCAACGUUUUCCAACAUAAUGUAUUGGGAGACUCUUUAUCAUAAUAUAAAUACAGAUCUAUUUAAAAAAAACUCUUUGACGAUGAUGACGUAAAUAAGAUUUAAAUAAUAAAAAUAUUAUUAAGAGUACUGUAAAUAAAAAAAUUAUUAUUUUCUUUAAUAUGGAUAUUUUUAUAAAGAUUUUAUAGUAUUUUUUAAUAAGAUAAGUAUGAAUAAAAUUAUAUAUGGUUAAAUUUGUUUAGAUAUUUUGUUGAGUUAGCAUGCAUGUAAAUUACAAUUAGAAAACAAACAAUCAAAUUAAGGUUUUACAGAAUAAGUUGACAUGAGUGAAAACACACAUAGCAACAAGCUUACUAAAAUGUUAGACUUAGAAUUUUUUAACUGGAAUUGCUUGUUUUCAUCCCCUUAUUUCUGGUUCGAUACAAUACAAAUAUUAUUUUAUGGAGCCAGUUUUACCAGAUUAUAUGUUUGAUUCACAACUACAAAUGUGUAACACUAGUUACCAGAAUAUCUUUAAAUGUGUAAGUGACUUUUGUAGGAAUAUACAUGUUUUAAACAGAUUGGAAAGUGUUUUAAGAUUCGCACUGAGCAUAAAAAUUUAAUUUAACCACUAUUUCACGUCUUGCUCUAAUUUUUAACAUCCACCUACCAUGAUACAAGUUCUAUUUUGUGUUCAUAAUUGAUCCCGCCUGUUGACCAGAACAUUGGAGCUUUGCCUCGUCAAACUUGGAUCGACGUAUGCGCCGCGUUCGUCUUCGUCCUUCGCCGUGAUCCACCUCAAGAACCUGCAAAAGAACAGAACGGCGCCACUGCGGCCGAUCGCACUCCAACGCCCAAGUCAGUGACCGAACCACCAAUUACUAAGAGUAACACUCAAGAACUCUCAAGGAACCGUGAACCAGUUCUCUCUCAGCAUACUCAAGAACUCGCAAGCGUAAAGAAGACAAUAUGAACGUGCGUACCUCAGAAGUUCGUUGAGAAACUCUUAUAUACCUGGACACUUUCUCUCUCCUAGCAGUUACACACCUGGACACAUGGCUUGCAUCCAGCUGUACACGUGCCUUCAUCUGGAGCAUCCUUGACUUGGGCGCUACUUCUGACUCUCCUUUGGCUAAGUUACUUAUGCAUGAUACUACUCAGUGCAUGGUUGUCUUGGAGCGCGAUCUCUACUGGAUUGGCGAGUUAGGGUGCCUUCGUACACACCUUCCCUGUGGUCUCGCCGGCCGCCUUCAUAAUCUGCACCACCUGUUCCACCGUUUAUGCCCGAGUAAGCUGUCCCCCGACCUCAUCCUCUGGCCAGCUGGGAAGCAUCCAUCUGCCUUCAUCUUCGGCGAUGUCCUUGCUUUGGCGAUCUCUAAUCACUUGGUCGCCUAGAUUCAUAUCUGACGACUUCAUCUUCAACUUGGUGACCGCCGGUAUUGGUGUGAUGGAGAUCGGAGCAUGCCAACUUAAUAACUGGCGAGUACGCGAACCCCCCGACCUCCUUCCCUUCUGCCAACCAGGUGUACCAUCCAACACGCCUAUAUCACAGCUCGACGCCACGUCAUUACUUCCGACUACCAGGGCGGUACACAAGCCCCCCAGUCUUAAGCGAAGACUUGUCCAGCGAAAAGACUAAAGGAGUUAUGUCAAUACCGAUCUACGUGGCGCUGGCGCAGAAUUCCAAGCGGUUGUACUUUCUGCUUUCCUGACGCUCCACCAAACACUCCUCUAAUCGCUCGACACGUGGCUUCAUCAACGGUUACCUUUAAUUGUCGUUUGCGCUUCCAAAACUCAUUCGAAAAACCCCUUAAACCCAUUUCUCUUCUACUGUUCCAUCACUUCUUCGUUUUCUCAAACGCUUCAAGUUUCUUCUGCAAAAGCUCACGACGUUCUUCAACCCCCUGAAUCAUCAACUUCCUUCAUUGUUCUUCCAAUCAUAAAAAGGUACCCCCUUUACUUCUUCUGCUGAUUUUUCCUGCAUUUUAACCGAUUCGCAUCAUCCAUUAACUGUCUGGUGCAUACGCUGUGGGCUGUUUUUUCUGUUUCUCCCUUCUCGUAACUUAGGGCUUCGUCUUCGUUACAACGAGCCUUCGUUCGUUCGUUUUUCACCCUUCUUUCACGAUCAAGUUAGCCUCUUCGAACCCUGAUCACCUUUUCUUUUCUUCUUCAUUUGCAGCUUCCGCGAUGACUCGCUCAAAGAUCACCCCAAAUCCUCCUCCCUCGUCACGAAACCCUUCAUCUCAAGCUCACAACCCACCGCGAGCACCUGGUGCUUAUUCUUCCCAGGCUGAGAGGCCUGCAACCUCCCGCCCUAACCCUGCUCAGGCUACUCCACCUGUCGCCGGAGGAGCCUUCGUUCCUUCCCCAGACUUCAAAAAAUUAUACCCAUGGGCCACCCCGACCUUGUUGAAGGAAACCUCCUCAGUGAACUCUGCUGGGGCAAUUCUUCGAUUGAAGAAAGGGGAAGAGCCUCAACUGUCGUUCCACAAGGAGCAUGACGACAAGAUGAUGGUGCUACCUUGCCCCCCCCCCCGACAUGCCGGUGUGCGCUGACGACAAAGGGAACAACGACGGGUUGUUCUGCUUCGUAUACACCACCCUGUUCAAGAAGGUGAAACUUAGGUUUCCCUUCACUCGUUUUGAAAGGGAGCUACUUACCGAGCUCGACAUCGCCGCCGCCCAGCUCCAUCCCAACAGCUGGGCGUUCGUGCGGGCGUUCCAAAUCAUGUGCGCACAUUUGGGGCUGCCAGCGUCAGUGGACGUCUUUCUUUUCCUCUUUGAAGCUAAACACCCAGGAGAUCGCCUGUGGGUGAGUCUAAACGGGAUUGCUGGGAGGUCGAUCUUCUCCAUCUUCCAGCAAUCCUACAAGGAUUGGAAGGGCAAGUUCGUCCAGGUGCGCCCAAACGACAAGGACGCCUCACUGCUCGACGGUUUCCCCUUGUAUUGGGUAAACAAGGGGAAUAAAGAGUCCAAGGGUAGCUUCAGGAGGCCAAGGAGCCCCGACAACAUGGGAGCCCUGGACAAAGAUCUAUGCCUCUUCUGGAAGAGCGUGGCAGAUCUCAACAUUACCUUCCUUACCACCGCGCUCAUCUCCUUCGAAUUCUUCGAAGAUCAACUCGAGGCUCGCAUAGGUUAGCGCUUCAGCGUUUAAGUUUUUGCCUUGCCAUUCCUCUGUUAACUGUUGCUGGGCGUCCUGUGUGUUGUACACAAGACUUUGGUUUUAUUUUCUGCACCCCUUAUCUGCUUUCUUGCAUACUGACUUAUGCGUUUUUCUCUCUCUCUGAACUGACCCAUGUUUCUUUGCAUCAUGCAGACCUCAUGUUGGGCAAGGGAAAGCUGGCUGAGUUGAGGGCACUCGCCCGAGUCCAUGGGUUGGCGUCGGGUUCCCAAACCGUGCCAAACUUCGUGGUGGAGAUCGCCGCCGCCCAGGGGAGAUCGCCCCCUAAAGGCCCAGCACCUUCGGCUGCCCAGCCCGCCCAACAGCAGCGCAAAAAGCUUAUCCUCAGGAAACCAAAGAGGAAAGCCCUCCAAGUGGUCCAUGAGGAAGAAGAAGAAGACGAUGAGGCGAUUGAAGAUGGCCUCAUCACCAAGAGGAAGAGGGUGGCGCCUUCUUCACCAUCUGCUCCACCUCCUCCUCCAACAUCAACACCACCUUCCACACCCGCUCCGCCUCCAACACUGCUUCCUCCACCAGCCCCCGCCUCGCCAGUCCAAGCGGUUCCUCCGGCAUCCGCACUUCCUGUGGUUGAGGCCGCCGAAGCUAACUUCAUGGAGAACCCCCCGAGCGCCUCCACGCCCUAUGUAUCAGCGGGAGGGGGUCCUCCUUCAAACACCUCAACCGCAAAUGCUGCACCAGUCGGGGAUGAGGGUGCUCACAAUUCGCCUAUCCUUAUCACUGAAUCCCCGACGUCGCCACCACGCCAAGAAGCACCCAUUGAACAACCAACUCAAGAAGGUGGCGGCGAGAACCAACAACAAGCCCACCCGGUGCCUCCACAAGCAAACCUCUCUCUUGAGGUCAAGAGGGUGUGGGAGCCCUUCUCAGCAAAACUGAAGAUGAUGGCGGAGGAUUUCCCCUCCAUCAUAUCUAAAGCUGUGGAGAGUUCCACCAAGAAGCUCCAGGAUGACAUCUUCACACUCCGAGCUGAGAAUCACUCUAUCAGGAUCGAGGCGGAGAGGUUAUCCUGCAACCUAACACUCACCGAGAUUGAUCACUCUCGAGUGGAAGAUGCCAUGAGCACUGAGCUCCGGGUGGCACGCAAGGAGGCCACCGAUCUACGACAUAAGGUGCAACUUUUGGCUCAAGAGAAGAUCGAGCUGGAGAGCAAGCUGGUACCUUAUCGCGUCAAAGUGGCUGACCUGGAGGAGUUGAUCAAAGCAGACGCCGCCAAGGUAAAGAACCUUGAGAAAAGGUCAGCCGAUCGGGAGGUCUUCUUGGGGAAGGUGGAGAAGGAGAGAGACGACACCGUGGCCAAGCUCGCUGAAGCCAACGAAGAGAACGGGAAGAUCGCCGCAGAGCUGGCCCAGGUGCAGGCAGAAUCCAAGAAGGUUACUGAAGACCUUCUUCAAGCUCGGGAAGCAGUUGAAGAACUUAAGAAACAAGCUGAAGAGCUGAAGCAACAGAACGAGGGGCUAAAGAAACAGAUCGAAGAACUUGAGCUGAGCUCUGCCCAGAUUCUUGCUGCUGGAUUCGAGGCUGCCCGAGAACAGUUCGCCUGCAUGUACCCCGAUUUGGAUCUUACCAUGGUGUCUCUCAACAACGAGGUGGUGGAUGGGAAGGUUGUUCCUUCUGAAGAUUGAUUGGCUUCCCUCCAUCCAUUAUUCCUUUGUCUCUCUCUUAUACUUGUAAUAAACUCUCUCUUUAUUUGUACAUGUGUCUCGAACUGAUUAUACCUUAUGAUAAAGUCUUUGUACUUCUUCUUAUAACUUCUCUGUCUGCUUUGUCUCUUCUUGCACAAUUCACUUCAACGAAAUUAACUUAGUAACUUCGUAGGCGUAAUUAUAUACUACCUGCUACGAACCAUCAGCUUUCGAACAAUAACACUCUAACAACUUGUAACUUCAGGGUAAUGAACCUUAGCGUAAAAUCGCUCUUCAAAUAACGAACUUCAACUCAACUAAUGGCUUAAGACUCCGCUCAUCUAAUCUGCCUUAUCAAAACGGGUCUUGACUUCCUCGUUACUGCUUGAAUUUCUCCUGGUCGCCAAUGACUCUUGGCAAUAUCAACUUCCUCCUGGCUUCACAACUUGGCCACUGUUCCUUUAUCUGGUGGUAGAGGCGCCUUUCGGAUCCUUCUCUACCUCCCUGAGCUUCAGAACAAAAGACCGGGUGGCUAGGCGUUCUCUUCGAACCUACCCUAGCCACCCUCCAAACUUCUUCUACCCUUCACACCAUACCUGAACUCGUUCAAGACGAGAAGGAUUUUCUCUUGCCUGAACUCGCUCAUCGGCGAGAAGGUCUUUAACUCGCCUGAACUCGCUCAUCAGCGAGAAGGUCUUUUAUCUCGCCUGAACUCGCUCAUCGGCGAGAAGGUCUUUAUCUCGUGCCUCUACAUUGCCCUAGGGGGUACAUCUUCUCUCCUCCAGAAACACUGAGGACUUUUGUUGGUGCCUCUACAUUGCCCCAGGGGUUACAUCUCCUCUCCCCCAGAAACACUGAGGACCUUUUGCUCUUCCUCGCCUGCAUUCGCUCGACGGCGAGGAGGUCUUUAUCUCGCCUCAGGACGCGCGAGGGCGUUGAGGUCUUUUAACUGGUGCCUCCGACCGCCGAAAGACGAUGAGGACUUUAACUUUAACUGAUGCCGCCAAUCGCCGAAAGACGAUGGGGACUUAGAAACUUUCUAGAAAGCAUGCAAUAUAUCUUUAACUUGCCUCAAAUCACAUAUAAGUGACAAGGUCUUUCUUCAAAACUUUCGGAAAACAACAAGCAUGCAAUCUAAAACAACUUUAAGCUUCGAAAACUCUUCUUUAUUGGGUGGCCUCAUUAAAAACCCUCCUUAGGGAAAAAAGAGUGCCCCCUUCAAACUGUUUUAACAGAAACAUUGUAAUAUAACUUCGUGUUUUUCUGUACUUACAAAGUUCUUAACUGUAAUAUAACUUGAGGUGCGUGGCGUUCCAAGUGCGAGGAAUCGCCCUUCCUUCCAAUGUUUCUAAACAGUAGGCACCGUUCCCGAGCGCCUCGGUUAUUCUGAACGGUCCCGUCCACUUAGGCGACAGCUUAUUCUCCAUCUCGUACUGGUGGGCUUUCCUCACCACAGGUCCGCCUCCCUGAACUGUCUGGCCUCCCCCUCGAGUUAUAUCUUCAUUCAAUCCUUCUCUUCACCGCCUCAACUUUCNNNNNNNNNNNNNNNNNNNNNNNNNNNNNNNNNNNNNNNNNNNNNNNNNNNNNNNNNNNNNNNNNNNNNNNNNNNNNNNNNNNNNNNNNNNNNNNNNNNNUUCAACCUUCUCUCCUCAUUCGAGUCUUCCUCCACGAAGUUCUGGAAUCUCGGCGAGCUCUCCUGGAUCUCUACUGGAAUCAUUGCGUCGCACCCAAAGACCAAGCUGAACGGGGUCUCAUGGAUGCCAGACUGCUCGAUGGUGUGGUACGCCCAAACUAUACGGGGUACCUCUUCAGCCCAACUUCCUUUGGCUUUCUCUAGCCUUCUCUUCAAACCUCUUAGCAACACCCGAUUGGCUGACUCUACUUGGCCAUUCGUCUGAGGGUGCUCGACGGAUGCAAACACUUGUUGAAUUCCCACCCCUUCGCACAGCUUCUUCAACAGGUGACUUGCAAACUGAGUCUCAUUGUCCGACACCAGGCGCUUGGGCACACCAAACCGGCACACAAUGUUCUUCCACACGAAACCCUCAAUCUUGUGUGUGGUGAUCUGGGCCACUGGUUCUGCUUCGAUCCACUUGGUGAAAUAUUCAAUCGCCACUACCAAGUACUUCAUCUGCCUGAUCGCCAGGGGAAACGGUCCCAGGAUGUCGAUUCCCCAUGUAUGAAACGGCCAAGGGCUGUAAAUCGAUUUCAACUCCUCGGGAGGCGCCUUGUGCUAAUCGGCGUGCUGUUGGCAUUGUUUGCAGCACUGCGCAUACCUCUUGCAAUCUUCUCUCAUUGUUGGCCAGUAGUAACCUGCACGGAGAGUCCUUGCGGCCAGAGCUCGACCCCCGACGUGGCUUCCGCAUAUCCCUUCAUGGAACUCUGCCAUAAUUCUUGUACAUUUUUCCCCGUGCACACAUUCCAGGAGUGGGUGAGUGAACCCAAACCUGUACAGCUCGCCAUCAAUCAUUGUGAACUUGCUAGAAUUCUUCUUUACCUUUCUAGCCUCCGUCGGAUCCAGCGGGAGAAGGCCAUCCGCCAGGCAUCGCUUGUACUGUGUUACCCAGGUGUCUGGCUCAUGCGUAGCGCAGACCUGCGUCAUGUUCACCCUCUCCCCCCGACAUGCUCUUAUUCUUGGCGACCUCAAAGUCUCUUGAAUCAGGGACCUAUGACUUCUCGCCGCUUUCUCCGUCGACUUGCUUAUCUGAAGAACCAGGUGAUCUGCCACAAAUGCUCUCGGCGUCUUCAGAGUUUCUUGAAUCACCGUCCUCUGCCUACCCCCCUUGCCUGAACUGGCGAGCUUAGCUAGCAAGUCAGCUCGGGCAUUCUGCUCUCUGGGCACAUGCACCACUUCAAAGGAGGCAAAGGAACUCUUCAAUUCCUGUACAUACUCGAGGUAAGCCGCCAUUUGUGGAUCUUUAGCCUGGAACUUUCCUGUUACUUGCCCCGUGACCAACAGCGAGUCACUCUUAGCCAUCAGCACCCUGGCUCCCAUCUCCUUAGCCAGCAAGAUACCGGCGAUCAGCGCCUCAUAUUCUGCUUGAUUAUUGCUGGCCUUGAAGGCAAACCUCAAGCAUUGUUCGAUCUGCACGCCAUUGGGUCCCUCCAAGAUGACUCCAGCACCGCUACCCUGCUGGUUCGACGAUCCGUCCACUGAAAGCACCCAACGAAAAUCAUCCCCCUCAACUCGUGCUGCUUCAGACGAGAGCUCGACCACAAAAUCUGCGAAGAUCUGCCCCUUGAUCGGGCCUCGGGGCUCAUACUUAAUAUCAAACUCCGGCAGCUCCACUGCCCACUUCACCAUCCUCCCAGCAACGUCAGGCUUCUUCAAGACCUUCUGGAUGGGCAAGUCGGUCAUCACCAGUAUCGUGAAGCUAUGGAAAUAGUGGCGUAACCUCCUCGCCGAAAAGACUACUGCCAGUGCAGCCUUCUCCAGGGCCUGAUACCUCAUUUCGGGGCCCUGCAGCACCUUACUAACAAAGUAAAUGGGUUUUUGAGCCUGAUCUUGGUCGUGGGCGAGCACCGAACUCACCGCCCUCUCAGUUACAGCAAAAUACAACCUGAGAGGGGUCCCCACCAGCGGUUUACACAAAACCGAUGGGCUCGCCAAAUACUCCUUCAGCUUGACGAAGACUUCUUCACACUCCUUCGUCCAGGCAAACUUGUUAUUCCGCCUUAAGCACUGAAAAUACGGAUGACCCUUCUCUCCACUAGCGGACACGAAACGAGACAGGGCGGCCAUCCGACCUGUAAGCUGUUGCACUUCCUUCACUGUAGCCGGGCUCCUCAUCGCCAAAAUGGCAGCGCACUUAUCAGGGUUGGCUUCUAUUCCUCUUUCAGUUAGGAGAAAUCCCAGGAACUUCCCAGCCUCCACGCCAAAGAUGCACUUCUCGGGAUUCAGCUUCAACUUAAACUUGGCGAUCGUAGUGAAUAACUCCUCCAAAUCCGCAACGUGCUUGCUCUUCUCCGGCGAGGUCACGACCAUGUCAUCCACGUACGCUUGCACAUUCCUUCCCAGCAUGGGUGCAAGUACUCGAUCCAUCAGCCUCUGGUACGUGGCCCCCGCGUUCUUCAGCCCAAACGGCAUCAUCUUGUAGCAGUAGCACGAUCUCUCGGUCAUGAAGGCAGUCUUCUCUUCAUCCAUGGGAUGCAUCUUGAUCUGGUUAUACCCCGAGAAGGCAUCCAGGAAACUUAACAACUUACACCCUGCAGCACUGUCCACCAGGGCGUCUAUGCUUGGUAAAGGAUAUGAGUCCUUCGGGCAAGCCUUAAUCAGAUCAGUGAAAUCGACGCACAUGCGCCAUUUCCCAUUACUCUUUUUCACCAGCACGACAUUGGCCAGCCAAUCAGGGUACUGCACCUCCCUGAUAUGGCCUGCAGCGAGGAGUUUCUGUGUUUCGUCUCUGAUCGCCUGCCUCCUCUCCUCGUUGAACUUCCUUCUCCUCUGUCGUACUGGUCUUACCUGACUGUCCAUCGCCAAAUGAUGGCACAAGAAGUCGGGGUCGAUCCCGGGCAUGUCCGAAGCGGACCAUGCAAACGCAUCCAGAUGCCGCUCUAUCACCUUAGCGAUCUGGUCUUGGAGCUCAACCUCCAGAGAUCUUCCCAGCUUGAAGAUCUUUCCUCCGAUCUCUCUUUUGAGCCACUGCUCGACGGGUUUUGGUCUGGUUUCUCUGGCGAUCACCGCCCUGGCGAUUCCCAACUCCCUCGCUUCCUCAGGACGAUUCCGCGCCUCUUCUUCCUCCAGACCGGCGUUCCCCUCCCCUAGCUCAGCAUCCACCAUUACCACGUCAUUCCCGGCGGUCUCUUCUAUUACCGUCGAUCUGGGCUUCACACCAGGAGGCGGGGUGGUUGUCACAUAACUCACCGACCUCUUGUUCUUCAGGCUAUUCUCAUAGCACUUCUUCGCUUCUUUCUGGUCGGAUUUGAUGGUGAUCACCACCCUUUCCAUAGACGGCAGCUUCACCUUCAUGUGUCGGGUCGACGGUAUAGCACCUAUUCUGUUGAGCGUGGGUCUUCCCAGCAGAAUGUUGUAUGCUGAAGGGGCGUUCACGACAAGGUACUUGAUUUUCUCUGUUCUCGAACCAGCCUCAUCUGUAAACGUGGUCCUCAAUUCAAUGUACCCCCUGACCUCCACCUGGUCACCAGCGAACCCAUACAAACACCCUCCAUAGGGCCUCAGCUGGUCAAGGGGUAGCUCCAACUGCGUGAAAGUCGGCCAGAACAUCACAUCUGCCGAGCUUCCUUGGUCCACCAGAACCCUGUGGACCUUCCUUCCUGCUGUGAUCAGCGAGAUGACUAUGGGGUCGUUGUCGUGGGGCACAACGUCCCGAAGAUCUUGCUUGGUGAACGUAAUGUCCACAUCCGGCAAGUGGUCUUCAAACAUAUCCACCGUCAUCACAGACCUCGCGUACUUCUUCCUCUGUGAUGCGAUGCAUCCACCACCUGAGAAACCUCCUGCAAUGGUGUGGAUUUCUCCGUGGGUAGGCAUCUCGUGCUGCUGAGCCUCUCCACCUGCUGGUUGGGAGCUCGACGCGCCCCCGUCCUUCUGUCCAGCAAGUAGUCGUUUAGGAACCCGCUCUUGACCAGAUCGUCGAGCUGGUAUCCUAAAGCCAAACACGAAUCCACGGUGUGGCCAAAGCCCUGGUGGAACUCACACCAGGCGUCUGGCUUUGGUCCCAGCACCUUGUCGCCCACCUUCUCGGGCGCUUUCAACCUAGCUGAUAUAUUGGGAAUGACGAUCAGGUCCGCCAAUCCCAUGACAAACUUGUGCUUAGGUGGGCGAUUAUACUCCCGGCGUGCUGGUUGCGGGCGUCCUUGGCCCCUGCCCUUGUUCUUCCUUGGGUCAUAAGGAUGACGAGUCCUCUGAUCCCUCCUGGCCGCCGCUGUCUCCAGCACCCUCUGCGGCUGGAUCCUGGUCUGGGCACGUGGCCUGGCGGGAGCCACGCUGCCCCUCUUCUCGGCGACUUCACUCUCAUCGGCGAUGUGGGCCACCGCAAGCCGCCUGACCUCAGCAAACGUGGCAGGGUGAGCCCUGAUCAAUNNNNNNNNNNNNNNNNNNNNNNNNNNNNNNNNNNNNNNNNNNNNNNNNNNNNNNNNNNNNNNNNNNNNNNNNNNNNNNNNNNNNNNNNNNNNNNNNNNNNCCGGCGAGCAGACCAUCUGCGCCCCAAAACGAUUCAGGUAGUCCCUGAGGGACUCUCCCUGAUACUGCCUUAUGUCAAACAAAUCGUAAGACACCCUGGGCGGUGCCUUGUUCACGAUGUACUGCUCGAUGAAGAUCUUUGAAAACUGUUGGAAGUUGGUUAUGUGACCUGUAGGCAGGCUCACAAACCAUUCCAGCGCCGUUCCCUGGAGUGUGCUCACAAACAUCUUGCAGUACACGGCGUCUGAUCCUCCUGGCAGCAUCAUCUGCGUAUGGAACGUGGUGAGAUGUGCUUCGGGAUCCUCCACGCCGGUAAAAACAGCUUUCACAGGCACCACGCUCGUAGGGAUAGGCUUGUCGGUAAUCGCCUGAGCGAAAGGCAUAGGAAAAACACGAGGCGGCGUUGACGGCGCGACCUCUUCAGCGACUGGGCGCCCUCGCUGUUCCUGAAGAGCUUGACGCAGUUCUUCAGUUACUUUGCUAAGCUCGUCAUUCCUGGCCCGAGAGGCGACCAGGUCCUCGUGCAUUCUUUCCUGCUCUAUGCGCGAGGCCUCCACAUUCGCCUGCAGCGAACGCAUAAUUUCCACCAUCUGCGCCAUAGUCAUGGCGCCUUCAGCAGCAACGGGCGCAACUGAACUUGAACGGUUGCUUCUCAUUUUUCUCAUGAAAACUUGACGAAUCACAGAGAGUAAUGAACAACACCUCCUUCAGCGACGAUCGAUUCAGCGAUCAAUCGGUCUGAACUUCGCGAAACUUCGAAAGAAACCUCAAGAACACGGCGAACUUCCACAGAAACCUGCAACUCCACCAAAAACCAGCACUUCUUCCACGAAAAUCCAAACGAGCCAAAGAACUCAGAUCUCACCGAACAAAAUCCGCGCAAUCAGCAGAAAACUUCACCUCACCGAACAAAAACCCAAACGAACGGUGGAAAACGCGAAAUUACCGAACAAAUCCUAAAUGAACAGCGGGCAAUGGUUGCACCAGCACACAACCACACAGAAAACUGCAAAAACCUCCAAGAACUCACGCUGUGGAUGGGAACAGGUUUUACACGGCCCCACGGUGGGCGCCUGAUGAUCCCGCCUGUUGACCAGAACGCUGGAGCUUUGCCUCGUCAAACUUGGAUCGACGUAUGCGCCGCGUUCGCCUCCGUCCUUCGCCGUGAUCCACCUCAAGAACCUGCAAAAGAACAGAACGGCGCCGCUGCGGCCGAUCGCACUCCAACGCCCAAGUCAGUGACCGAACCACCAAUUACUAAGAGUAACACUCAAGAACUCUCAAGGAACCGUGAACCAGUUCUCUCUCAGCAUACUCAAGAACUCGCAAGCGUAAAGAAGACAAUAUGAACGUGCGUACCUCAGAAGUUCGUUGAGAAACUCUUAUAUACCUGGACACUUUCUCUCUCCUAGCAGUUACACACCUGGACACAUGGCUUGCAUCCAGCUGUACACGUGCCUUCAUCUGGAGCAUCCUUGACUUGGGCGCUACUUCUGACUCUCCUUUGGCUAAGUUACUUAUGCAUGAUACUACUCAGUGCAUGGUUGUCUUGGAGCGCAAUCUCUACUGGAUUGGCGAGUUAGGGUGCCUUCGUACACACCUUCCCUGUGGUCUCGCCGGCCGCCUUCAUAAUCUGCACCACCUGUUCCACCGUUUAUGCCCGAGUAAGCUGUCCCCCGACCUCAUCCUCUGGCCAGCUGGGAAGCAUCCAUCUGCCUUCAUCUUCAGCGAUGUCCUUGCUUUGGCGAUCUCUAAUCACUUGGUCGCCUGGAUUCAUAUAUGACGACUUCAUCUUCAACUUGGUGACCGCCGGUAUUGGUGUGAUGGAGAUCGGAGCACGCCAACUUAAUAACUGGCGAGUACGCGAACCCCCCGACCUCCUUCCCUUCUGCCAACUAGGUGUACCAUCCAACACGCCUAUAUCACAGCUCGACGCCAUGUCAUUACUUCCGACUACCAGGGCGGUACAAUAAUCAUUCUGAGUUUGUUUGGCAUUGGUCUCACUCCAAUGAUCCCAUCCCCUGAACUCUCUGGAUCCCCGUCCAUGUCCUUCAUUAUAAUACUCUAUAUAAUCCUUCAUUAUUGAACAUUGAAUAACCCUUUUUUUGAAUGAUUGUCCUUAAAUGAAAAGGAUUAUAAGCUAAUAAGGAAAUUUAUAAAUCAUUAUAUAAUAUUUUAUACAAGGUUUACAACUAGAGAUAACAAUAUUUGAAUUGUGCUAAUUUUGGAUACAAGAGCAAAUGUGAUGGAGGGUCAUCCAAAUACACACCAAUAAAGGUAGAAGCACUAUUUCUAUAAAUAAAGUAAAAUACUUUUGUAUAUGAUUUUUAUUUGUAACAUACUUUUAAAUGCAUGUUGUAAAGAUAUCAAAGACACUCUAGGAGAUCCUUACUUGUCGGACAAGCAAGAAUGUCUAGAGCAUCUUAAAAGGACAUAUAGGUCACUGUUUAAGCGACCAAUCCUACAUCAAAAUUAUAUCAAAAUGUUUCAAUGUAAUGUAUUCCAUAUGCUUGUGUACAUCCCUUUACCACUAAUCUAGCUUUGAAUCUGCCAAUUGUAUCAUCUACAUUAAAUCUCAUAGAAUGCAUCGAUCGACAUCCUACUAAUUUUCAUUUUUAUUUUUUUACAAGGAUCUCAUCUCUCAUUCAUGGCAUGCUUCCAUUUAGAGUCAAAGCUUCCUGCACAAUAUAUAAUUGCUUAUAGAUGUGAUAGUUGAGUUAGUCAAAUUCUAAUUAUAAAUGUAAUUACUUUAUCUUACCGUUGAAGUCAGGAUUAUAGUAGGUUUAAGGGUACCUUUAUGACACGAUUUGGAAAAGUUCUUUUUUCUAUAUCAGGUUCUUGAGGAGAAGAUAUGUUUUUUGCAUUAGUUUCUUGAGGGGACGAAUGAUGUAUAUAUCAUCAACAUCAACAUUCAAACUUUCGAUAUCAUGCUCAAAUUCUUCCUUAUUCUGUGAUUAUUGACCAAUCAAAUUAUUGCACACUCUUAACUUUGUUACUCUUUGUUUUCAAUAUAGACUCACUAUCAACUUCUUGUUAAACAAAAUAUGAAUUUCAUCAUGAUUUUUCUCCUGAAUCUCAACUCGAAGAGAAAAUAUAUCAACUACUCAGAAAAAAAAAAAAAACUACAGUAGUAAACAUUUGCUUGAUAUGUAGAUUGUAGCACCACUAUUUUUUUGUGAUAAGCAUUACUAAGGAAUACAAGGAAAAAACUUACUUUUCUUAUAUGAUCGUGUAAAUUAACUUAAGCCACACAAUAAAAAACUGUGUUAAUUGAGCAAUUCUAGAACUUACUAGUGGACAUAUAUGUAUUUGUAAGUGAUUGAAAAAACAUUUUAUACUAAGAAACCUAGAUGGUGUUUAUUUGAUACUGUACCUUCAUAUUGAACUACCAUUGAAAUUCCAAUAAUUUAAAUACAGACAAUCAGAAAAAAGAAGUCCUAAUACCAAAUUGUUCACUCUAUAUUUUUUCAUUCAUAUAAUUUAUAAAUAGACUUAAACAAAUCUAUAAUUCUAUAAAUUAUGACUAAAUUAAGAAAGAUAUGAAUAUAAAAUAUUUUAUAAAAAUCUAUAAUUUAAUCAAUUAAAUAUCUUAUCAAUAAAAAUUAGAAAAAAAAAAUCAACAAGAAUUACAUAAAGAAAUCAACCGUAAUAAAAUUUCUGACUUUGUUAAAACAGUCGUAUUAUACUCGUCUCAUCAAAAUCGUUAAUCGUAGAAAUGAAGAAGUGAUUCAAUUGGCUAACUAGACAAUGGGUUUUGGCUAUCAGAGUUUGCCUCGCUAAUGUCUGCACUUUCUUGUAGUUGCAGGGCAUAUAUAAGCAUCCCAACGACGUCGUUCAUGGACGGUCUCUGCUCCCCAAUAUCUGACAAACAACUCAACCCAAUCUCGCAAAACAUUAUAAAGCAUUUGAGCGCGAUCUUCCCCUUCAAGGUGGGAUCCAAUAUCUGUGCCAUGGUCCCAUUUUGGUAACAGUAUCUAACCCAAUUCCCAAGCGACUCUUCUCUCGGCUCCGCCGUGCGGAUCAGAGGAGGACGAGCGCACAGUACCUCAAACAACACUACUCCGAAAGAGU
RNAcentral lists this long non-coding RNA (18677 nucleotides) under Phaseolus vulgaris (common bean). Its description in RNAcentral is "long non-coding RNA (PVUL_LNC003308)". Lineage: Eukaryota; Viridiplantae; Streptophyta; Magnoliopsida; Fabales; Fabaceae. The record is from RNAcentral.